Long non-coding RNA from Ostrea edulis (European flat oyster), 673 nucleotides. RefSeq lists it as uncharacterized. NCBI's taxonomy places the organism in Eukaryota, Metazoa, Mollusca, Bivalvia, Ostreida, Ostreidae. The transcript has 3 exons. The record is from RefSeq and is a predicted model, not a curated record.
AUUUGACCUCACCUCUAACCUUUUAAUGAAUCUCACUAUAGGGUCGGAAAGUCUCGUCAUGUGACUCGCGAGAAAUAACGUGAAACCGUACUUCCGGGCAGUUGUCAGGAUGGCAUUAUCAAUAAUGUACUAGGCUCGCUACGUUCAAAACCACAUAGACCUUACUACAAAAAGCGAGAGAGCGGUGGAUAACAACUGGGUUUAGAAAAUGUGUUCUAGAUAGAGCUCUGAGUUAUUACAGCGGUUGUUCAAGCGUCAAUACGAGACAUUUUCCAACAAAGUACAGAUAUAAAAGGGCAAACAACACAGCUGGAUAAAGCAUUAUUAAGUCUGCACCUCGUAUAGCUAUGACAAUGAGAGAAAUGUAUCCACCCAGGCAAUCAGAAUAUAGAGUGCAACCCAGAAGGCACCACUUGUGAUUUCAUAGUUUGAAGACCAAUGAACAUGGAAGUGAUUCUCAUCCUUCGAGAUGAAUUAUGGGAAUUAUACUUGGCAUAAAUGAUUGAGCCUUUGUGCCCUCUCUGCAAUAACCAACUAGACAGACUUGUGAAAAUUCAAAUGUCUUCCAUUAGUUUUAUUUUGUUUUUGCUCCAACUGAUCAGUGUAAAGAUGUGCAUGAAUCACCUUUGUAACAAUUUCUUUGACUAGCAACCUUAAAUAAAUGUUCACUUUA